Molecule: ribosomal RNA, 510 nt
Filed under: uncultured bacterium
Lineage: Bacteria
Description: partial 16S ribosomal RNA
Rfam family: Bacterial small subunit ribosomal RNA
Source: RNAcentral
GACGAACGCUGGCGGCGUGCUUAACACAUGCAAGUCGAACGAAGAGCGAUGGAAGCUUGCUUCUAUCAAUCUUAGUGGCGAACGGGUGAGUAACGCGUAAUCAACCUGCCCUUCAGAGGGGGACAACAGUUGGAAACGACUGCUAAUACCGCAUACGAUCUAAUCUCGGCAUCGAGGAUAGAUGAAAGGUGGCCUCUACAUGUAAGCUAUCACUGAAGGAGGGGAUUGCGUCUGAUUAGCUAGUUGGAGGGGUAACGGCCCACCAAGGCGAUGAUCAGUAGCCGGUCUGAGAGGAUGAACGGCCACAUUGGGACUGAGACACGGCCCAGACUCCUACGGGAGGCAGCAGUGGUGAAUCUUCCGCAAUGGACGAAAGUCUGACGGAGCAACGCCGCGUGAGUGAUGACGGCCUUCGGGUUGUAAAGCUCUGUUAAUCGGGACGAAAGGCCUUCUUGCGAAUAGUGAGAAGGAUUGACGGUACCGGAAUAGAAAGCCACGGCUAACUACGUG